Molecule: ribosomal RNA, 500 nt
Filed under: uncultured bacterium
Lineage: Bacteria
Description: partial 16S ribosomal RNA
Rfam family: Bacterial small subunit ribosomal RNA
Source: RNAcentral
GAUGAACGCUAGCGGCAGGCUUAAUACAUGCAAGUCGUGGGGCAGCAUGAGUAGCAAUACUUGAUGGCGACCGGCGAACGGGUGCGGAACACGUAAACAACCUUCAUUUCAGCGGGGAAUAGCCCAGAGAAAUUUGGAUUAAUACCCCAUAGUAUAUUAGAGUGGCAUCAUUUCGAUAUUAAAGAUUUAUCACAGAAAGAUGGGUGUGCGGCUGAUUGAAUAGGUGGUAGGGUAACGGCCUACCAAGUCAGUGAUCUUGAGGGGGCCUGAGAGGGUGAUCCCCCACACUGGUACUGAGACACGGACCAGACUCCUACGGGAGGCAGCAGUGAGGAAUAUUGGACAAUGGGUGAGAGCCUGAUCCAGCCAUCCCGCGUGAAGGACGACGGCCCUAUGGGUUGUAAACUUCUUUUGUAUAGGGAUAAACCUUUCCACGUGUGGAAAGCUGAAGGUACUAUACGAAUAAGCACCGGCUAACUCCGUGCCAGCAGCCGCCGUAA